Numida meleagris (helmeted guineafowl) is the source of this 968-nucleotide long non-coding RNA. RefSeq lists it as uncharacterized. The transcript is spliced from 2 exons. The record is from RefSeq and is a predicted model, not a curated record. NCBI's taxonomy places the organism in Eukaryota, Metazoa, Chordata, Aves, Galliformes, Numididae.
GGGCAGAAUUUGGCAUGCAGAAAACAUCCAGCUGCAGUCAGCAGAGAAAUCCACCAGCUUGGCUUGAGAAUCUCCCAGGGAAUUUUGUAAGGCUGGCUGCAGAAGGGCUUGGUGUUGUGGUAGGAGAAUAGGCAGUUUAUUUCUUUUCCACAUGAACUCAACAGUUUUGGUCUGCAUACAGGAAAGAAAGCAUCAUGGAAGUGUAUGCUAUGGCUGUCCUGCCUGUGCAAGGGCUUCUCUUUUCCAUGGCGUAUUAGAGAAGAUGGAUGACAGCACCAGCUCAUCUGUGGCAACUUUUCAUAAACAGUGAGGAAUUCGGCCAUGUGGAGUGGCACAGAGAUUGACCAGGCUGGUGUGAAUCCUCUCCUAUUUGCUCUCUAUCAAGAAAAGCAAAACAAAGAAACUCAGCAAACGUGCAUCCAAGAGUCUCUAGAUAAUAAAAGCUCAAAAGAAGUGGCAGUGCCUCACAUAUGCUGUGCGUAAGCACAAGGACAAUUACUUCAGCAGGAUUGGCACAGAGCAACUUGAAGCACCAUAAAUCACUAUGUGCAGUUUGCAGUCCAUAAUGGCUCUGGUUGCAAACAAGGCUUUCAGCUCAGGAGAGCUUUUCCUAAGGCUUUAAUGAGAGACAGUAGCUCUCAACCAUCGACAGCCCUGCUCAUUUCAAGGGGCGCUGCCUCACGUGUCCUCAAUGAUGCUUUAGAUAGUGUUUCAAAGCUUUUCCCUCUUCUAGUGCUUGUGGAAGGACUGAAAGAUUUACAGUGGCACUUGAUUAACAGCAGAAAGGAUGAUAGAGGAUAUAUAAAUCAAGGAGAGAAAGACUUUAAAGAUAGGUUAGUGCUGUGAAGAAGCAUGCUUGCACAAAGGGGAUGCCAUUACUCAAUGUUUUGUUGGAGAAGGAUUUUAUAAGUUUGGAAAGACUGGACGGUGCUUCUAAUACUUCAAAACCAACUACUAUAGAUUAAUAA